RNAcentral lists this ribosomal RNA (497 nucleotides) under uncultured bacterium. RNAcentral describes it as "partial 16S ribosomal RNA". It matches the Rfam family "Bacterial small subunit ribosomal RNA", at positions 28 to 507 of the family's 1533-position model. The record is from RNAcentral.
GAUGAACGCUGGCGGCGUGCCUAACACAUGCAAGUCGAGCGAACAGACGAGGAGCUUGCUCCUCUGACGUUAGCGGCGGACGUGUGAGUAACACGUGUAUAACCUACCUAUAAGACUGGUAUAACUUCGGGAAACCGGCGCUUAUACCGGAGAAUAUAUUGCACCGCAUGGUUCAAUAGUGAAAGACGGCUUUGCUGUCACGUAUAGAUGGAUCUCGGCCGAAUUAGAUAGUUGGUAAGGUCACGGCUUACCAAGGCUACGAUGCGUAGCCGAGGUGAGAGGGUGAUCGGCCACACUGGAACGGGACCACGCACCAUGCUCCUGCGGGAGGCAGCAGUAGGGAAUCUGACGCAAUAGGCGAAAGCCUGACGGAGCAAGGCGACGUGAGUGAUGAAGGUCUUCGGAGCGUGAAGCUCUGUUAUUAGGGAAGAACAGAUGUGUAAGUAGAUGAACACGUCUUGACGGUAACUAAUCAGAAAGCCACGGCUAACUACGUG